UGGGAAUAAAAAGUUCUAUGAA
Molecule: non-coding RNA, 22 nt
Filed under: Rattus norvegicus (Norway rat)
Lineage: Eukaryota; Metazoa; Chordata; Mammalia; Rodentia; Muridae
Source: RNAcentral